Molecule: non-coding RNA, 106 nt
Organism: Acanthosepion pharaonis
Lineage: Eukaryota; Metazoa; Mollusca; Cephalopoda; Sepiida; Sepiidae
Source: the annotation of a GenBank genome assembly
CAUCACGUUGAAACACCUUAAUCCCGUACCAUCAUCGAAGUUAAGCAACGUCGAUCCAGGUCAGUACCCAGAUGGGUGACCGCUUGGGAAUACCAGAUGCCGUAAG